This 84-nucleotide transfer RNA is filed under the name Trichonephila inaurata madagascariensis. Its description in RNAcentral is "tRNA-Leu". It matches the Rfam family "tRNA". Rfam says of the family: Transfer RNA (tRNA) molecules are approximately 80 nucleotides in length. Their secondary structure includes four short double-helical elements and three loops (D, anti-codon, and T loops). The record is from RNAcentral. Lineage: Eukaryota; Metazoa; Arthropoda; Arachnida; Araneae; Nephilidae.
GUUAGGAUGGCCGAGCGGUCUAAGGCGCCGGACUCAAGUUUUGGUCCAUAAAUGUGGGCGUGGGUUCGAAUCCCACUUCUGACA